This 518-nucleotide ribosomal RNA is filed under the name uncultured microorganism. RNAcentral's name for it is "bacterial SSU rRNA". It matches the Rfam family "Bacterial small subunit ribosomal RNA", at positions 9 to 508 of the family's 1533-position model. The record is from RNAcentral.
GAGUUUGAUCGUGGCUCAGGAUGAACGCUGGCGGCGUGCCUAAUACAUGCAAGUCGAGCGAACGGACGAGAAGCUUGCUUCUCUGAUGUUAGCGGCGGACGGGUGAGUAACACGUGGAUAACCUACCUAUAAGACUGGGAUAACUUCGGGAAACCGGAGCUAAUACCGGAUAAUAUUUUGAACCGCAUGGUUCAAAAGUAAAAGACGGUCUUGCUGUCACUUAUAGAUGGAUCCGCGCUGCAUUAGCUAGUUGGUAAGGUAACGGCUUACCAAGGCAACGAUGCAUAGCCGACCUGAGAGGGUGAUCGGCCACACUGGAACUGAGACACGGUCCAGACUCCUACGGGAGGCAGCAGUAGGGAAUCUUCCGCAAUGGGCGAAAGCCUGACGGAGCAACGCCGCGUGAGUGAUGAAGGUCUUCGGAUCGUAAAACUCUGUUAUUAGGGUAAGAACAUAUGUGUAAGUAACUGUGCACAUCUUGACGGUACCUAAUCAGAAAGCCACGGCUAACUACGUGU